ACUGCCUGAGGUCAGGAAGCUGCAGGUAGCAGGGGAGCGGGUUGGCUCAGGCCUCUCUGGCUGCCAAGGCAGGAGUGGUCUCUGUGUGCCACCUGGGUGUCGCUGGACCUUAGGCAGUGUGGCUGGAGGAUCCGGAAGGGGUGAGGAAGCAGGAGAGGCUGUGUAACUUACCCAAGGUCACAUCGCUAGCAAGUUCCAGAUCAAGAUGCAUAGCCAGGCAGUCUGGCUCCAGAGUCAGUGCGUUUACCCACAGAGCCCAUCUCCAGCCAGCAUCUGACCCGUGGCCCAGGAGGGUGCAGCCUCUGGCAGGUGAGGGCUUGGAGCAGAGACCUGGCCAUUACAGGAAGCAGGCUGGAGCUAUGGACAGAGCGGAGAGAGUGGGGGCCAGUGGCGCUGCUGCCAUCAGACACUGGGUGCUGAUCCCAUGCAGCCCUCCCCGGGGAGUGGAGCCCAGCGUGCAAGACCUGGCAGGUUCUGACCUGGGUUUUCACCAAAUGCCC
Saimiri boliviensis boliviensis (Bolivian squirrel monkey) is the source of this 500-nucleotide non-coding RNA. NCBI's taxonomy places the organism in Eukaryota, Metazoa, Chordata, Mammalia, Primates, Cebidae. The record is from RefSeq and is a predicted model, not a curated record.